Molecule: long non-coding RNA, 5596 nt
Filed under: Hordeum vulgare
Lineage: Eukaryota; Viridiplantae; Streptophyta; Magnoliopsida; Poales; Poaceae
Description: long non-coding RNA (HVUL_LNC014138)
Source: RNAcentral
AGGUCUACCCUUUAGUCCCGGUUCAAGACACCAACCGGGACUAAAUCCUCCAAACCCUUUAGUCCCGGUUCGAGACACGAACCAGGACUAAAGGUCCAAGACACGAACUGGGACUAAAUCCUCCAAACCCUUUAGUCCCGGUUCGAGACACGAACUGGGACUAAAGGUUCCAUUUGAACCGGGACUAAUGCCCGACCGGCGCCUUUGCCGCUUGAACCGAGACUAAUACUAACAUUAGUUCCGGUUCGUAAAGGAACCGGGACUAAUGUGUUUUUCGAACUGGGACGAAAGCCCUUAUUUCUACUAGUGGCAUGUGUAACUAUCCGGGCCACCAGGUCGUUGGCAGUACUUAGGAUGGAGGCUUUAGGAACAACAACGACAAUGUCUUCACUGUCAUGAUGGGACGGAUGGCAGGACCAGAAAAUAUGAGUAGGGUUUCACGUUUGGGGCUUUAUAUUUUCAGUAUCUCCUAGCUAGUUUCAACCUUCAGGGUACUAAUUAAUAUGAGUAGGGUUUCACGUUGGGUCGCGGGUGAACUUGUAAGCAACGGUAACUGUGAGUUAUAAAGCACCAGAAAAUUACGAAAGCAACAAACAGAACUACAAGGCACAGAGUAGUUGUUGUGUUCAUGUGCGAGUGCGUGUUGUGUUCAUGGUUUCGAUCCAUCUUUGCGUGAAGGCCGACAAGAUUCCGACUGGUGCAGCUAGUACUGGGUUGAGGACUAGUGGCUAUGUACACGUUUCAGAGCAACAUCCAUUCAACCAUGAUAUAUUUCUGUGUAGCGUUGACACAGAGUGUAGUACACAUUCUUUCUAGGAAAAAGUAUUAGUACACAUUCGCGUCACUAGUAUUAGCCGCACUUGUAUAUCACUAUUAUAAUUAUCCAUAGAUUUAUAAGGCAAAUAAUUAUGCAUAGAUGAAUUUAGUUGUCCAUCAUCUAGGAGUAUCUCUAGCCGGCCCUUUAUCCUAAAAGUCCAAAACUUUCUUCAUACGCAUUUCUCCCUUUUUUUUGGAAAUCACUAUUGUUCAUCAAGCAAAUCUCCUAUCCUAAAAAGUUUAUUUGCCAAAUCUUCAAAAUGCCAGUUGAAAUAUUUGUAACAAAUUGAUCACAUUUCAAUAAACACAUAGGCAAUUUGAAAGCAUCACCUCAUAAUUCAGCUACGAGCAUAAAUAUAGUUCACCGAAUCCAUCAAAUAUAAUCAUAAUUUGUGCCAAAAGGCACCAGAUAGGCAAAUUCAUUCAAAAAAAGCACCAACGCACGGUGAAUAAAAAGCCAUCAUAGUUCACAUGUGCCUCAUGCACUUUUGCCAGUGCAUUGUCGCCGCCUACAUAACUACUGUUGUCACCGUUACACGAGGUCGUGUAGUAUUUUCUUUUUGAAAUGGAGGUAAAUUUUUUGCCUCAUAUAAUAAAUACAGAGGAGCAAGAGUUUGUUACAACACAACCAAGAUAUGGCAUGACAAUUAUUCUCGUAAUAAUAAAGACCCUAGCUUCUUAGUCCCUGCUUUGAUCCAAAGGUUGGCCUCGUUGACGAUUCUAUUGAACAGACCAUGUAGUAUUCGCUGCCACCACGGGAGAUCGAGUGGAAAGCGUCCAGGAAGCAACAUCCCUUUUUUUCUUAACCCCCCACUGCCGUGUUGUCCACCACCUUGGCCGACGACCGAUGGUCCGUUUUGCGAGUUGGCUUGGGCAAAGGAGGUAAUCAUUUGCUUUGAUGUCUAUUACUUAGAGAUUAUGUAUAAGGUAUGAGCAUCAGCUCUCACUAUGUCAUAUUAUACUAUACAGGUAACCCACCUUAGUACACACUAGAUCAAUAAUGGUGCGCGUUGCCGCACCCGUCUAUUUAUACAAUAAAAAUAAUAGGAUUUUUCUUAAAUAGAUGACUACAUGAGGCACAGUAACUUUCGAUAAACAUAACUAAAUAUUAGCCAGUGUCGAAGGAAAUCUCAUAUAUAAUCAUUAAAAGAAAGGUGUACACAUAGAAAUAUGAUUGGUAUGACCAAAUACACUAUUUAGUUAUAGUAAAUAUAAAUAACCAAUUCUACCAAGACAAAUGAUAAGCAGCGGAUUGUUUACAUGGAACAUUCAUGAAAUCUUCACAUGCAUCUCCAAAGAAGCCACCAUGUUUGGAAACAGAAAAGAAUAGGCGAGCCUGAUGCAAUAUAUCAUUUCUUAGCGGAACUGCAAUCCAGAUAGAAAACUCUAUAAACCCUGAGUGACAAGUAUUAAAAAAAGGAAAGCAUGUAAAGUUCUCGCCUGAGCUUGCAUGUCACUCUAGUCAACAUGAUUUAAGAUAUUUUGUUUCAGCAAAUACAUAAUUGAUAAGAUAAGGACAAGUUUUGAUAACAGAAAAAAAAAUCAGAAAAUCAUACUCGUACAAGCAAUUGUUAGAUACUUCAUGUUUGCUUCGCGACAUUGAUGGAAAAAAUGCAUCGUACAUCACCUAUCAUGUGACAUGAUAGAAAUUCAGGGACCACGUCAUUAUAAAUCAAUAGGCAGGAAAUUAUAUAUAAAGUAUGACACAAUGCUCACACUCAACAUCUUAUUUUCCAACUCAAGAUAGAAAACCAAGUCCAGGAAACACCAUAUGUAUGCUCAUUAUUCCUCAAUUAAAACAACAUUUUCUCAGAAAACUGGAAAUUACAUGGAUAAUGUACCACACUCUUCAAUAUUAUUGUUGUUACGAAGAGAUAAUAUGCUCCUUAUAGUCCCAUCCAUACUACUUAGAGCAAGUACAAUAGGAUGACGUAGGCGGGCUGUGAUAAAUUGGAAAAGAAAGAAGAAAAAAGAGAAGAGAAACGGGCUAUAAACUAAUAGCCGGCUGUAACACGUGCUAAUAGACACUUUGUGAAAGAGGAUGAUGGCGACCGAAGCAUCGAGGACGGGUACGACAGUGAAAAAACCAAGAGCUGCCGAGGGCCAGCGAGAUGGCCUCGUCCCGCAUCUGUAACACCAUAAAAAACUCAAUGUCUGAACAAAAGAAAAGAAAGGCUGGAUUUGUGAUGCAGAUUCGAGAAGAUACAUACAAGACGAUUAAGGUGCCGGUUAUGAACAUCACCAAGGACGUUCCUGCCGCCUCAGUGCACGCACACAACCUGAGGCUCGUGUCUCCACCGCCGCGCGCUAACCCGCAUCUGCUCUUCAGCCAGCAAAUUUGUGAGCGUUAAUACGCCAUUCUGCCCUGUCAAAUGACAAUAUAUUUCUGAUCAUUUAAGAUUCUGGCUACAAUAGGAGGAAGACGUAGGUGGCAGGAGAAGCAUAUGCCCCUGACCGUUGUGUAGACAACUAUGUACAUGCAUAUACAAUACAUAUAAUUAUUAGAAUUGCCAGCUGAAUAGAAAAUUCAGUUUGAAUUUCAUGUCGACAUAAAAUCCUAAUGUAUUAAGAUUAAGAAAAUUCUAUUUACCAAAUCUAAUAAACACAAUGGCUAGAACAAAGAAUAGUUGUAUCUACAUAAAAUUAUAAAAUGCACACGAACAGGUCCACAAGAACAGAGUCAACCAAAGGGUUUAAUCCGCAACCUCACCAUCAUCCUGAGAUCGUUGCUAUCCAUCUGGUGGCAAAUCCAUCAGCGCUAUGGAGUACGACUAUAGAAAAUAUUGAGUCAGUCAGUCAGAUCAAGGUUUCAAGAGAAUCCAUUCAUGGAGCAAGGGAGGGGGAGCAGACCAGUAACAGGGGAAGGAGCAGAGUGGUCCAGGCCGCCGUCGCCAUGGGAUGUGAGUCCUCCCCGCAUCUGGGAAGGUGCAGCGAUCCCACAUUGGAGCGUGGCAGCGCUCGUGGCUAGGGCAAAGAGGAGGGCCGGCGCAUGGAGGAGCGACUGGAGGCAGCGAAAUUGGUGGGAAGCGGCGUCGGCGCCGAAGAAAGGGGUCGACGGGGUCGUGCCCUCGUGGGAGAUCGAGGUUCGCCGGCUUGGAUGACGAGGAAGGCGACGCGACUCGUGGAGAUGUUCUUUUAGGUGUGGCUCCUGGAGUCCUGGAGGAGUGGUGGUGGCCUGGGUUGUAUUUGGUUAGUGAUCUGGGCUGCGAGACGUGGCCCAAUUUACCAGAGGGCUCAGUUUUGGCUACUGGAGUAGCAUCCCCUAGGACAGUUGGGCCACUAAUCUUUAUAGUUAGCCCAUGCGGUGGAGAGCAUUCAGAUCCGACGAGCAGAAACUGCUAGAUCGCGAAAACGAACGACCAGAGUCGCAAAUCACUGAGAGAGCUCGGUUUAGGCUCAGUUUUACUGUCCUUAAUGAGCAUCACCAUUGUGCCACACACGACAUAUAUCUAGAAAUAUUACAAUGUAAGGUAGGUUAAUAUUGGUCUUAGUUGUACAAAUUUUCUUUAGAUAGCGUCACUUGUAGGUCGCGUAACCAUGCAGUGAAGAGGCAUACAUGUACGAGGAUUUUAACAUUUUAUAGAUGACAUAUAUAACUUAAUUUAUUGGAAAAUUUUAUAGCACCAAUUGUAAAAAUAGUUGUGCCUGCCUAUUUGUGAUGUUGAUGCUACUCCUUAUUACUCCUUCCAUUUCAAAAUAAAUGACUCAAAGUCAAAGUUAGUACAAAGUUGAGUUAGUUAUUUUGAAAUAGAGGGAGUAGAAUUCACCAUCUUUGUUCCAAAUCUACAUCUAUUUUAAAAUGAGAAUAUAGAAGUGUGAAGAUGUCCAUGAAUCAUGCAUCCGAGAAAAAAGUUUGGCAUGGUAAUUGGAAGAUCACUUUGUAAAUACCAUCCGAGCAGUAAGUUUACUGCGCUAACCCACUGUCGACUUUAGUGCAUGGCUAGUUGCUAAUAGUUUUUGUGACAAAACCCUUGGUUCACUAGCGGAUAUUGCUAGAAGUAGUGUGAUGCUUCUAUGGUUUCCGGAUAAGCAUGAAAUUCAUUGCCUCGCAACUCAAGAUGAUUUAAGCAUUCUUGGAAUGGAUGGUGUGACAAGGAAACCCUACUUACCAACUCGGUCGGCCCAUGUGUGUUUAUAUGUAGAUGUGGCAAUCGCCCUCAUUUAUACCUUCCAUCCACCCAUGCCUCUCCAUCUAUUUAAACUUAAGGCUCCACAACACCACUAGUGCACUUGUAUCAUACUAUGUCACGACCACGAGACACUCGAGAGCGAGUAGAAUCUAGAGCCGUGGCCAAGAAGUCCACUGGCAACUAUCCCUCCUCAUGGUCUGCUUUGUGACGGCCGCCAAGACCGUGCCUACUGCACUAGUGGCACGUCAUUGCACUAGUGGCGCGUUGGACAAGAAGAAUGUCUUCAUGAGAAUGGUAGGCAUGCGGAACUUGUUGGAACCGUUGCAUGCACCCGCACCCACGAGAGCAACGGGGGGCGGCCCGAGUCCUGCAUCACCCACGCCUCCGCGCACGGCGCCUCCGUCCACAUAGCCACGCCCCGGCACCAUAUACGGUUCUGUUGUACCAGUAGGCUACCACUCCUUGUAUAUAUAAACCUGUAACUGUACGAUGAUCAUUACAUAGAGUUCAUCUAUCUUACUUGGUAUCAGAUUUUUUCGAUCCUUCUCUCUUCACCAUGAGCAUCCGUCACCCCCUUCGCCGGACUUGCUCGUUCGGGGACGCCGACUCCAUCUUCAUCCUCCCGGAAGUCGCCCCCAACCCUGCUCAGU